AUUCGUUUCCCAAGGUAAACGCGUGUGUCGCGAUUCCGCUGAAUGGGUGAUCAGUGAAACAGAAUCGAUUAAUCAAAAUUAGAGACCGGUAGUUAUGGUGUAAUAAAUUUCACUCCGCGUCAGCAUCGCCGGGAAAAAUCAUUGGCUGGAUUUGCACGUGCAAUUAUGGCUGCAGUCCGGUGUAUUUACGUAACUUGAUUACCGAACACU
Molecule: long non-coding RNA, 210 nt
Organism: Diprion similis
Lineage: Eukaryota; Metazoa; Arthropoda; Insecta; Hymenoptera; Diprionidae
Exons: 3
Source: RefSeq, a predicted model, not a curated record